UACGAAGGGUGCAAGCGUUACUCGGAAUUACUGGGCGUAAAGCGUGCGUAGGUGGUUUGUUAAGUCUGAUGUGAAAGCCCUGGGCUCAACCUGGGAAUUGCAUUGGAUACUGGCAGGCUAGAGUGCGGUAGAGGAUGGCGGAAUUCCCGGUGUAGCAGUGAAAUGCGUAGAUAUCAAGAGGAACACCAGUGGCGAAGGCGGUGGUCUGGGCCGGCACUGACGCUGAGGAGCGAAAGCGUGGGGAGCAUACAGG
This 253-nucleotide ribosomal RNA is filed under the name uncultured bacterium. RNAcentral describes it as "partial 16S ribosomal RNA". It matches the Rfam family "Bacterial small subunit ribosomal RNA", at positions 524 to 776 of the family's 1533-position model. The record is from RNAcentral.